GAAAGCUGACUGCCCGCACCGCCCCAGGCGCACUGGGUAGGACUGAAAGGCAGGGACUAAGGUGACAGCUGACUCUGCCGGGGCGGAGUGCGUGUCCUCCCACCGUGCUGGCGCUGAACUGACUGUCCGCUGCCAAGGGAAGUGACAGCCGCAGCCGGGCUCUCAGCCAGCGGCCAGGCGCCCCGCGGACCAUGCUCUCCAGUACGCAGAACGCGGGCGGCUCCUAUCAGCGGGUCCGCGGGGCGCUUGAUACACAGAGUAAUUACUUUAGGCUAUAAGAGACCUUUGGAAAGAGAGGAUCUUUUUGAACUAAAGGAAAGUGAUUCCUUCUGCACUGCGUGUCCCAUCUUUGAAAAACAAUGGAGAAAGGAAGUUUUAAGGAAUCAAGAGAGGCAAAAAGUAAAGUUAUGUAGGUAUCUUGUUAUAAAGAGGCACAUAUCAAGAAACCAUCUCUACUCUAUGCAUUGUGGAACACCUUUAAAUCCAUCCUGAUUCAAGUUGCCUUAUUCAAAGUGUUUGCUGAUAUUUUGUCCUUCACUAGCCCACUCAUAAUGAAGCCUUACUUUUAUCAAAUGUUUCUCGACAAAAGUUUUCCACUGGGGAAAUUAUUAACUUGAUGUCAGCAACUCAUGGACUUGACAGCAAACCUCAAUCUCCUCUGGUCUGCCCCUUUUCAAAUCCUAAUGGCCGUAUAUCUCCUUUGGCAAGAGCUGGGUCCAGCAGUGUUAGCAGGGGUGGCAGUCCUUGUGUUUGUUAUACCAAUAAAUGCUUUAGCUGCAACUAAAAUAAAAAA
This is a long non-coding RNA of Homo sapiens (human), 793 nucleotides long. Ensembl annotates it as ATP binding cassette subfamily C member 13 (pseudogene). Its record names the gene ABCC13. Lineage: Eukaryota; Metazoa; Chordata; Mammalia; Primates; Hominidae. The record is from Ensembl.